This is a transfer RNA of Coniochaeta ligniaria NRRL 30616, 71 nucleotides long. It matches the Rfam family "tRNA". From Rfam's summary of the family: Transfer RNA (tRNA) molecules are approximately 80 nucleotides in length. Their secondary structure includes four short double-helical elements and three loops (D, anti-codon, and T loops). NCBI's taxonomy places the organism in Eukaryota, Fungi, Ascomycota, Sordariomycetes, Coniochaetales, Coniochaetaceae. The record is from Rfam.
GGCAUAUUAGUUUAAAGGUAAAAUAGAGUACUUAGACUACUAAAAACUAAGUUCGAAUCUUGUAUAUAUUA